GACGAACGCUGGCGGCGUGCUUAACACAUGCAAGUCGAACGGAGUGCUCCGGAAAGAGAUUUCGGUCAAUGGAUGGAGUUACUUAGUGGCGGACGGGUGAGUAACGCGUGAGGAACCUGCCUUUCAGAGGGGGACAACAGCUGGAAACGGCUGCUAAUACCGCAUAAUACGCGGGUGUCGCAUGGCAUCUGCGUCAAAGAUUUAUCGCUGAGAGAUGGCCUCGCGUCUGAUUAGCUAGUUGGUGAGGUAACGGCCCACCAAGGCGACGAUCAGUAGCCGGACUGAGAGGUUGGCCGGCCACAUUGGGACUGAGAUACGGCCCAG
This 324-nucleotide ribosomal RNA is filed under the name uncultured bacterium. RNAcentral's name for it is "bacterial SSU rRNA". It matches the Rfam family "Bacterial small subunit ribosomal RNA", at positions 28 to 334 of the family's 1533-position model. The record is from RNAcentral.